RNAcentral lists this ribosomal RNA (497 nucleotides) under uncultured bacterium. RNAcentral describes it as "partial 16S ribosomal RNA". It matches the Rfam family "Bacterial small subunit ribosomal RNA", at positions 28 to 507 of the family's 1533-position model. The record is from RNAcentral.
GAUGAACGCUGGCGGCGUGCCUAAUACAUGCAAGUCGAGCGAACGGACGAGAAGCUUGCUUCUCUGAUGUUAGCGGCGGACGGGUGAGUAACACGUGGAUAACCUACCUAUAAGACUGGGAUAACUUCGGGAAACCGGAGCUAAUACCGGAUAAUAUUUUGAACCGCAUGGUUCAAAAGUGAAAGACGGUCUUGCUGUCACUUAUAUAUGGAUCCGCGCUGCAUUAGCUAGUUGGUAAGGUAACGGCUUACCAAGGCAACGAUGCAUAGCCGACCUUAGAGGGUGAUCGGCCACACUGGAACUGAGACACGGUCCAGACUCCUACGGGAGGCAGCAGUAGGGAAUCUUCCGCAAUGGGCGAAAGCCUGACGGAGCAACGCCGCGUGAGUGAUGAAGGUCUUCGGAUCGUAAAACUCUGUUAUUAGGGAAGAACAUAUGUGUAAGUAACUGUGCACAUCUUGACGGUACCUAAUCAGAAAGCCACGGCUAACUACGUG